RNAcentral lists this long non-coding RNA (546 nucleotides) under Gossypium barbadense (sea-island cotton). Its description in RNAcentral is "long non-coding RNA (GBAR_LNC009772)". The record is from RNAcentral. Lineage: Eukaryota; Viridiplantae; Streptophyta; Magnoliopsida; Malvales; Malvaceae.
AAAAAGCUUCUCUUCUCUCAUUUUUCUCUGCAAGUGCCCUAGGUCCGGCCAGCACUCCUCGCCGUCCGUCGCGCCCUCCACCGCCGGCGCCGUCGCCGGCCACCGCGAGUUUCAAAAAAGGGUAUAUUUUGUAUAUCUUUUUUUUAUUUUUUAUGUCUUUAUAAUAUGUAUAUGCAUGUGAAUAAAUAGGUUAAAAAAAAGAAAAAGAAAGAAGACAAUGAUGAUAAUUAAAUAAAAUCACCUUGAAAUAUUAGAUUUCGAUUCUUUGUCUAAACUAUUUUCUGCUUUUGGAUAUUGCUGGGAUUUCUGUUUUUGCUUGUGUUUUUUAAAACCUAAUCUUGUUUUUUCAUUUCACAAAAGACUGACCGUACAUAAUAGUUUUUGGAUUUGGCUUUUAAAUAGCCAUUUACAUGCCUUUUUUAUAUUACAUUGUCUUUUCUUUGCAGGAAAAUGGGCGGUGGAGCAGAGGCCAUUUGCGCUGUCGACGUGACUGGGGCGGUGGAGGCAAGUGGUUUAGGGUUUCAGAUUUUGAAUCCUUAAAUUUAG